This 729-nucleotide ribosomal RNA is filed under the name Gottfriedia acidiceleris. RNAcentral's name for it is "bacterial SSU rRNA". It matches the Rfam family "Bacterial small subunit ribosomal RNA", at positions 48 to 759 of the family's 1533-position model. Lineage: Bacteria; Bacillati; Bacillota; Bacilli; Caryophanales; Bacillaceae. The record is from RNAcentral.
GCUAUACAUGCAAGUCGAGCGGACUUGUAGGAGCUUGCUCCUGCAGGUUAGCGGCGGACGGGUGAGUAACACGUGGGCAACCUACCUGUAAGACUGGGAUAACUUCGGGAAACCGGAGCUAAUACCGGAUGACAUAAAGGAACUCCUGUUCCUUUAUUGAAAGAUGGCUUCGGCUAUCACUUACAGAUGGGCCCGCGGCGCAUUAGCUAGUUGGUGAGGUAACGGCUCACCAAGGCGACGAUGCGUAGCCGACCUGAGAGGGUGAUCGGCCACACUGGGACUGAGACACGGCCCAGACUCCUACGGGAGGCAGCAGUAGGGAAUCUUCCGCAAUGGACGAAAGUCUGACGGAGCAACGCCGCGUGAACGAUGAAGGCCUUCGGGUCGUAAAGUUCUGUUGUUAGGGAAGAACAAGUGCUAGUUGAAUAAGCUGGCACCUUGACGGUACCUAACCAGAAAGCCACGGCUAACUACGUGCCAGCAGCCGCGGUAAUACGUAGGUGGCAAGCGUUGUCCGGAAUUAUUGGGCGUAAAGCGCGCGCAGGCGGUUUCUUAAGUCUGAUGUGAAAGCCCCCGGCUCAACCGGGGAGGGUCAUUGGAAACUGGGAAACUUGAGUGCAGAAGAGGAAAGUGGAAUUCCAAGUGUAGCGGUGAAAUGCGUAGAGAUUUGGAGGAACACCAGUGGCGAAGGCGACUUUCUGGUCUGUAACUGACGCUGAGGCGCGAAAG